AUGUUGAAUGUUCACCUGCGAACAGUUACAAGAAUAUGGAAUCUAGCCAAAAGACAACUUGCACCAGGCCAAGAAGUUGAUGUUUCAAGCAAGAAGAAUAAUAGUGGUAGGAAGAGAAAAGAACUAGACCUGUCGAGAACAGCCACAAUCCCUUUGAACAAAAUAAGAACAAUUCUUUCUCUAGAAAGGUGUUUAGGUGUGCCCCGAUCAACCCUACAUGACAGAUUUCAGUUGCAAGAGUUGAAACGCAUCACAAGCACCAUCAAACCCAUCCUCAAGCCACAGAACAAGAUAGCGAGACUAAAGUUCUGCCUAUCCAUGAUGGAUGAAAGAUGGAUAUCAAGUCCUUGGCCUAGUUUCAAACCAAUGACAAAUAUGGUCCAUAUCGAUGAGAAAUGGUAUGAGAUGACCCGAGUGAAGAGUAGCUAUUACGUACUGCCUUGA
RNAcentral lists this ribosomal RNA (444 nucleotides) under Triticum aestivum (bread wheat). RNAcentral describes it as "partial small subunit ribosomal RNA". Lineage: Eukaryota; Viridiplantae; Streptophyta; Magnoliopsida; Poales; Poaceae. The record is from RNAcentral.